ACUCCUACGGGAGGCAGCAGUAGGGAAUCUUCCACAAUGGGCGCAAGCCUGAUGGAGCAACACCGCGUGAGUGAAGAAGGGUUUCGGCUCGUAAAGCUCUGUUGUUAAAGAAGAACACGUAUGAGAGUAACUGUUCAUACGUUGACGGUAUUUAACCAGAAAGUCACGGCUAACUACGUGCCAGCAGCCGCGGUAAUACGUAGGUGGCAAGCGUUAUCCGGAUUUAUUGGGCGUAAAGAGAGUGCAGGCGGUUUUCUAAGUCUGAUGUGAAAGCCUUCGGCUUAACCGGAGAAGUGCAUCGGAAACUGGAUAACUUGAGUGCAGAAGAGGGUAGUGGAACUCCAUGUGUAGCGGUGGAAUGCGUAGAUAUAUGGAAGAACACCAGUGGCGAAGGCGGCUACCUGGUCUGCAACUGACGCUGAGACUCGAAAGCAUGGGUAGCGAACAGGAUUAGAUACCCUGGUAGGAUAGC
RNAcentral lists this ribosomal RNA (472 nucleotides) under uncultured bacterium. RNAcentral describes it as "bacterial SSU rRNA". It matches the Rfam family "Bacterial small subunit ribosomal RNA", at positions 335 to 800 of the family's 1533-position model. The record is from RNAcentral.